This 253-nucleotide ribosomal RNA is filed under the name uncultured bacterium. RNAcentral's name for it is "partial 16S ribosomal RNA". It matches the Rfam family "Bacterial small subunit ribosomal RNA", at positions 524 to 776 of the family's 1533-position model. The record is from RNAcentral.
GACAGAGGGUGCAAACGUUGUUCGGAAUUACUGGGCGUAAAGCGCGUGUAGGCGGCAGUGCGAGUCGGGUGUGAAAGCCCUCAGCUCAACUGAGGAAGUGCGCCCGAAACUGCAUUGCUUGAGUACCGGAGAGGAUGGUGGAAUUCCCGAAGUAGAGGUGAAAUUCGUAGAUAUCGGGAGGAACACCGGUGGCGAAGGCGACCAUCUGGACGGAUACUGACGCUGAGACGCGAAAGCGUGGGUAGCAAACAGG